GACGAACGCUGGCGGCGUGCUUAAUACGUGCAAGUAGAACGCUGAAGAGAGGAGCUUGCUCUUCUUGGAUGAGUUGCGAACGGGUGAGUAACGCGUAGGUAACCUGCCUGGUAGCGGGGGAUAACUAUUGGAAACGAUAGCUAAUACCGCAUAAAAUUGAUUAUUGCAUGAUAAUUAAUUGAAAGAUGCAAUUGCAUCACUACCAGAUGGACCUGCGUUGUAUUAGCUAGUUGGUGAGGUAACGGCUCACCAAGGCGACGAUACAUAGCCGACCUGAGAGGGUGAUCGGCCACACUGGGACUGAGACACGGCCCAGACUCCUACGGGAGGCAGCAGUAGGGAAUCUUCGGCAAUGGGGGGAACCCUGACCGAGCAACGCCGCGUGAGUGAAGAAGGUUUUCGGAUCGUAAAGCUCUGUUGUAAGAGAAGAAACGGGUGUGAGAGUGGAAAGUUUCAACAACUGUGAACGGUAUCUUACCAGAAAAGG
Molecule: ribosomal RNA, 487 nt
Filed under: Streptococcus sanguinis
Lineage: Bacteria; Bacillati; Bacillota; Bacilli; Lactobacillales; Streptococcaceae
Description: bacterial SSU rRNA
Rfam family: Bacterial small subunit ribosomal RNA
Source: RNAcentral